Molecule: ribosomal RNA, 447 nt
Filed under: uncultured bacterium
Lineage: Bacteria
Description: bacterial SSU rRNA
Rfam family: Bacterial small subunit ribosomal RNA
Source: RNAcentral
UGGGGAAUUUUGCGCAAUGGGCGAAAGCCUGACCCAGCAACGCCGCGUGAAGGAUGAAGUAUUUCGGUAUGUAAACUUCGAAAGAAUAGGAAGAAUAAAUGACGGUACUAUUUAUAAGGUCCGGCUAACUACGUGCCAGCAGCCGCGGUAAUACGUAGGGACCAAGCGUUGUUCGGAUUUACUGGGCGUAAAGGGCGCGUAGGCGGCAAUUCAAGUCAUCUGUGAAAUCUCCGGGCUUAACUCGGAACGGUCAGAUGAUACUGCUUUGCUAGAGUGCAGAAGGGGCAAUCGGAAUUCUUGGUGUAGCGGUGAAAUGCGUAGAUAUCAAGAGGAACACCUGAGGUGAAGACGGGUUGCUGGGCUGACACUGACGCUGAGGCGCGAAAGCCAGGGGAGCAAACGGGAUUAGAUACCCACGUAGUCCCUGAGCGGGCUGGCAAGGCGCAU